This 465-nucleotide ribosomal RNA is filed under the name uncultured bacterium. RNAcentral's name for it is "partial 16S ribosomal RNA". It matches the Rfam family "Bacterial small subunit ribosomal RNA", at positions 28 to 507 of the family's 1533-position model. The record is from RNAcentral.
GACGAACGCUGGCGGCGUGCUUAACACAUGCAAGUCGAACGGAAAGGCCCCGCUGUGGCUACAUGAGCGGGGGACGGGGGAGUAAGAGGAAAGCGAGUGGCCCUUGCCUAUGGUACUGGAGUCAGAAAGAGAAGCCAGCACUGAAAACGUAUAGCCUCCUGCACCGGGGGGGGUGGAAGGCAACGGCGGUCGGGGAUGGGCUCGCGGCCGAUCAGCCGGUUGGUGAGGGAAUGGCUAACUAAGGCUUAGACGGGUGGCCGGCCUGGGAGGGGGACCGGCCACACUGGGACUGAGAUACGGCCCAGACUCCUACGGGAGGCAGCAGUGGGGAAUAUUGCACAAUGGGCGCAAGCCUGAUGCAGCAACGCCGCGUGCGGGAUGACGGCCUUCGGGUUGUAAACCGCUUUCAGUGGAGACGAAGAGUGACUGACGGUACCUACAGAAGAAGCACCGGCUAACUACGUG